RNAcentral lists this ribosomal RNA (407 nucleotides) under uncultured bacterium. Its description in RNAcentral is "partial 16S ribosomal RNA". It matches the Rfam family "Bacterial small subunit ribosomal RNA", at positions 30 to 526 of the family's 1533-position model. The record is from RNAcentral.
AUUGAACGCUGGCGGCAGGCCUAACACAUGCAAGUCGAGCGGAGCGGCGGACGGGUGAGUAAUGCCUAGGAAUCUGCCUGGUAGUGGGGGAUAACGUCAGGAAACGGGAGCUAAUACCGCAUACUAUCAGAUGAGCCUCGGUCGGAUUAGCUAGUUGGAGGGGUAAAGGCCUACCAAGGCGACGAUCCGUAACUGGUAUGCGAGGAUGAUCAGGCACACUGGAACUGAGACACGGCCCAGACUCCUACGGGAGGCAGCAGUGGGGAAUUUUGGACAAUGGGCGAAAGCCUGAUCCAGCCAUGCCGCGUGGGUGAAGAAGGUCUUCGGAUUGUAAAGCACUGUAAUUAGGGAGGCGGUACCAACAGAAUAAGCACCGGCUAACUUCGUGCCAGCAGCCGCGGUAAUUC